AUUCAUUCAUCUCAAACUAAUUACAGUCUAUUUCAAAUGAAUUAAGUAACAAAUUCUAAGGUAAGUUGAUUUUUAUGAAUAAUGUUUAUUUAUAUGAAUAACUUACUAUUUUUAAUUUGUUGGUAUUUGUGGAAGAAAUAUGAAGUUUGUGGCAAAAAUGAAGUUGGUGGUGUAGGAAGCAAGUGGCUUCGUGCGGGGAAUCUGCCUGUAGUGCGGGGACUCCGCACAUCUUCGUGUGGAGUCCCUGCUUUGUGCGGGGAAUCUGCCUGCAGUCUCUGCACCAAUUUCGUGCGGGGAGUCUACGGGGACCGAAACUCGCUCUUUUUUUAAAGUUAAAUUAUAAUGUUUUUUAUAUAAAUUGGAGACAAAAUCUCAGAAUUAGAAAAUAUAUAUUAAAUCUGAUGAUUAAUAUGCAUUGCAAGCAAUUUUUUUUCCAGCUUACAUGAUAUAUAUAUCAUAAAUAAGUAUAUGAAAUCACGAAGAUAUGUUGGUAUGCGUUAUGAAAUUUUUCAUAUACAUGUUCUAUUAUUUGUAUAGAUGUCUCUAGAUUAUAUACUGUCAUCAAAUCAAUGAUUUUCUGCUACUAUCACUCAAUACUCCAAUUACCAAUAUGUAAAAGAUUGUAUAAAAUUGCUUCAAGCAGAUGAGCAAUCACUUUUACUCUCUAGCGGUAGCAAUUUUCAUAGAUUUCUUUAUGGAUUUAUGUAUAAAGAUGAAGAGCAACAAUUCAGCAGUAAAUUAAUACAUGAAUUUAUAAUGAGGUUUGUUGACUGUGGUAAAACGAAUGAGGUGUGGGUGAGGUUGGACAAUCAUUUUGCUCAUUUUGGCUUGCAAGAAUUUUGUCUAAUCACAGGAGUACCUUACCAUAAAGUAUCUGUUAAUCUUGAUCCCAACAAUUCUCGACUUAGAGAUCAAUAUUUUGAAAGAAAAAAGAAUUAACAUGAGAAUGCUUUACGAUGCAUUCCAAUUGUGUGAAGAUCCAGAGGAUAAAUUAAAAUUGGAAUGGGUGAUGUUGGUAGAAUGUGUUUUGACACCAAUGGAAAGAUAUAUUGAUUACAGAACUUUAGGCAUGGUUGAGCAUCUGAACGAUUUUCUGUUGUAUCGUUGGGGCCGUAAGGCAUACUUUGUUUUAUUGAAGUCGUUGCAACAAUCACAUAUUGAAAGAAUACAAAGAAUGCAACAGUCUGACCAAAAUGAAUGUAGAUAUAUACUAAAUGGAUAUCCCCUUGCCUUUCAGGUAUUUUUUUUUAUUUCUAAUUUAUUUACUCUAUAUUUUGAUUUUAUAUGUAUUUAAUAUUGAUUUUGAAUUCUCUGUGGUAGUUUUAGAUAUACAAAGCAUUUCCUCGAAUUGGAGACAAAUUUGGACGAUGUAUGUAUAAGACAUUACAGGCUCCAAGAAUGCAUUAAUGGAAGCCAAAAAAAAUAUUGAGUGAGAGAAGAGUAAAACAAAUUUUCACUACCCAAGAGGUACGAUAAUUUUAGAUAUACAUUUAAUUAUCAAUUAUCUAAUUAUUUAAUCGUGGAAGAGGAAAGUAUUCUAAUAUUUUAUUAUAUUUGUAGAUUGAAGUACUUGCGUUAGCACCCACUGAAGAAGAAUUGGACAGAGUUUGGUAUAUGAAUUUAUCAUUGCCAACUGAUAACCAACAUACUAUUUUAGAUGGCAUCGUUGGUGGAGAAUUUGAGAAUGCAUGCCAACAAAUUCCACAAUGUAUAGACGAGCAACAAACAGGUAUUGCUGGUAGUUCAACAACUCGGACUUCAAUUCGAGUUCAGGAGCCUAAUUGCUCUUCUCUUGAUUUCAACUAUGUAAGAAGAGAAGAAAUGGAAGAAAUGUUCAGUAUGUAUAGGCAGCACGUAGUGUCAGAUAUGUUUGACUUGUGUCAUAAUCUGAAGACAGGCAUAGUUGAUGAAUCAAGAAGACAGGAAGCAGAAACUCUUCAAAAUCAGAGACAAAUGUUUGAACAACAUCAGAAAUGGUACGAAGAUCAACACUAAGGUUCGGGCUUCCAAUCUGGCAUGCAUUCCUAUCAUAUUGCUCAAGAAACAAAAGAACAAGAUACUUGUUAUUAAGCAUUUCUUGAUCAAUAGAAAUAAAUGUUUCAACAACAACAGAAAUGGCAUGAAGAGCAGUAUCAAUGAAUACUUCAACAACAACAAAAAUGGCAUGAAGAUCAGUAUUUGGGAAUGAAGAUCAAAGUCAAUUCACAAAACCUGUCUGAAGUAUUAAGUCUAUUACCAAUUUCAUUGUCAGUAUCAUAGAAGUAUAGUUGUAAAUAUGUUGGACUACAAUCUAGUGGUACAAGAGAGUUUAUAAAAUGGUAUAUUUGUCCUGAAUUCUGAAA
This 2342-nucleotide long non-coding RNA is filed under the name Olea europaea subsp. europaea. Lineage: Eukaryota; Viridiplantae; Streptophyta; Magnoliopsida; Lamiales; Oleaceae. The record is from RNAcentral.